Molecule: long non-coding RNA, 331 nt
Filed under: Cicer arietinum (chickpea)
Lineage: Eukaryota; Viridiplantae; Streptophyta; Magnoliopsida; Fabales; Fabaceae
Description: long non-coding RNA (CARI_LNC003465)
Source: RNAcentral
AAAUAUUCCCACUCUUUUUACUUUUUUUUUCACUCACAAAAAAAUACUCUCAUUCCACUUACUUUUAUUUUCCACUCACACUCCACUUACUUUAAUUUUCCACUCACAAUAAUAUUCCCACCACUUACUCUCAUUCCACUUACUUUUACUUUCCACUUACACUCCACUUACUUUUAUUUUCCACUCACACUCCACUUACUUUUAUUUUCCACUCACAAUAAUAUUCCCAUCACUUACUCCCAUUCCACUUUUACUUUCCACUCACACUCCACUUACUUUUAUUUUCCACUCACAAUAAUAUUCUCACCAUUUACUUACUCCCAUUCCACUU